Molecule: ribosomal RNA, 402 nt
Filed under: bacterium
Lineage: Bacteria
Description: partial 16S ribosomal RNA
Rfam family: Bacterial small subunit ribosomal RNA
Source: RNAcentral
UGGGGAAUUUUGCACAAUGGGGGAAACCCUGAUGCAGCGACGCCGCGUGAUUUAGAAGGCCUUCGGGUUGUAAAAAUCUUUUCUAUGGGAAGAAAAUGACAGUACCAUAGGAAUAAGGACCGGCUAAUUACGUGCCAGCAGCCGCGGUAAUACGUAAGUUCCGAGCGUUGUCCGGAAUCAUUGGGCGUAAAGGGUACGUAGGCGGGUAAGCAAGUUAGAAGUGAAAUCCUAUAGCUCAACUAUAGUAAGCUUUUAAAACUGCUCAUCUUGAGGUAUGGAAGGGAAAGUGGAAUUCCUAGUGUAGCGGUGAAAUGCGCAGAUAUUAGGAGGAAUACCGGUGGCGAAGGCGACUUUCUGGCCAUAACCUGACGCUGAGGUACGAAAGCGUGGGUAGCAAACAGG